Molecule: ribosomal RNA, 253 nt
Filed under: uncultured bacterium
Lineage: Bacteria
Description: partial 16S ribosomal RNA
Rfam family: Bacterial small subunit ribosomal RNA
Source: RNAcentral
UACGGAGGGUGCGAGCGUUAUCCGGAUUCACUGGGUUUAAAGGGUGCGUAGGCGGGUUGGUAAGUCCGUGGUGAAAUCUCCGAGCUUAACUCGGAAACUGCCGUGGAUACUAUCAAUCUUGAAUAUCGUGGAGGUAAGCGGAAUAUGUCAUGUAGCGGUGAAAUGCUUAGAGAUGACAUAGAACACCAAUUGCGUAGGCAGCUUACUACACGAUCAUUGACGCUGAGGCACGAAAGCGUGGGGAGCAAACAGG